Long non-coding RNA from Episyrphus balteatus (marmalade hoverfly), 1402 nucleotides. RefSeq lists it as uncharacterized. The record is from RefSeq and is a predicted model, not a curated record. The transcript is spliced from 2 exons. NCBI's taxonomy places the organism in Eukaryota, Metazoa, Arthropoda, Insecta, Diptera, Syrphidae.
UUAUAUACAAAAAAAUUCUAAAUACCUACAAAAAAUAAAAACAAUUAAAUGUUUCUAGUUUUUUUUGAAUAUUUUUAUAAUAAAAAUAAAUUCAUUAAAAUAAAUUUUAUUUAUAUUUUUUUUUUUUUUGAAUAUAUAGAUAAAAUUUAUUCGAUUAUAUCAACAAAAAAACUUUUGCCUGCCAUAUCAUACAUUAAAAUGUUCUACAUGAUUUAUAUAGGUAGUUAAAAAAUAAUUUUUAAUUUUUUUGAAAGUUGCAACAUGGUUUUUGAUUUGUUCCAAAAUGUCAAAAUCUAAACACGAAUAUUCCAUUAGUGAUAUCUUAUCACACAAAAAAAAUUGUGGUACAAUAAUUGUUAGACAACAACUAAGUUUUUUUUUCUUAUUUCAACAAACUAGCAGAUAACAGGCUUGAGCUUAUUGUUAUCAUAUUCCACUAUAACUGAGCCAAAUACUCUAUUCAGAUGUUAGCCAAUGUCCAAUAAAAACUAAUCAUUGUGAUUAAAGUAUUGAUACGAUUUUAUUUUCGUAAAAAAAAAAGAUAAUUGUUCAAUUUUAAAUAUUGAGAAUUUUUUCUUAUCAAUUUUAAAUUGAAAAUCAAGUUUAAAUUGUAACAAAAAAAAAUAAAAGAAAUCGAUCUAUCAGUAAUAAACUUAUUGUUUAUUUAGUGAUAUGACUUUUGGCAUUCAAAAAUUUCUUAUCAAAUUUAAUUUUAAAAUAAAAUUCUUCUUGAUGUAUAAAGAUUUUGAAAAAUUUUGUUGGGCACCACUUUUUGAAUGUUUUUUUUUUUAAUUAAAGCAUUUUUCUUAGAAAAGAAUUUCAUCUGUCAUUUAUUUUUUUUGAUAUUAAACUUUUUUAAUCAUGAUAUUUGAAAAGUUUGUUGGGCGCCACUUUGCAAAACACGACCUUGUUGUAAACAAAUUUGCAAUUUUAUGAAAAUUGAUGUCAUUUGCCAAAAAAGAAACAUUUCUUAGUUCAAAUCAACUUCCUUUCUAGUUUGUGUCUGAAAAAAAAACUUUGUUGGGCGCCACUUUUUAUCAUCAUUAGUCUAUUAUCAAGGAACAAAUAAAAAAAAUUAUGGUCAAGAUAAAUUCGUAAUAAAAUCCUCUCUAGAAAUAUAAAAAAUAUUUCAUUUUAUGUAGAUUUGAAUUUUGUUUUCUAAAAAAAAUCCUACUAACGCAUGUUUUCAACAUACUCAUUUUCAUUUUAACAUCGCAAAUAUAUGUAUGUAAAUUGAGCUCCAAGUGUACAGCACUUUUAACAAAAAAAAAUACUCCUGCAAAAUGAUCCUGCCCACACUGAUAAACGCACUUGAAUAAAAGAAAGCGUUUCCAAACCUGAGAUUUUAGAGAAAUAAAUUUAUUGACAGUCAAAUAGAAGUGUUGCAUCUUUCAAAAUAUAU